UAUUAAAUAGUGUAAGAAGCACAAAGAUUUUUGAAUUCUUAAGAAAUAGUUUAAUUCUAUUAUUGAAAU
RNAcentral lists this transfer RNA (69 nucleotides) under Augomonoctenus smithi. RNAcentral's name for it is "tRNA-Gln". The record is from RNAcentral. Lineage: Eukaryota; Metazoa; Arthropoda; Insecta; Hymenoptera; Diprionidae.